Molecule: ribosomal RNA, 323 nt
Filed under: uncultured bacterium
Lineage: Bacteria
Description: bacterial SSU rRNA
Rfam family: Bacterial small subunit ribosomal RNA
Source: RNAcentral
AAUGAACGUUGGCGGCGUGGAUUAGGCAUGCAAGUCGCGCGACAAGGAACCUUCGGGUUCUGGAGGAGCGGCAAACGGGGUAGUAAGGCAUCGGAACGUACCCUCUUGUUGGGAAUAGCCGCGGGAAACUGCGAGUAAUGCCCAAUAAUCCCUACGGGGCAAAGGUCCGCCGCAGGAGGAGCGGCCGAUGUGAUACCAGCUAGUUGGUGAGGUAAUGGCUCACCAAGGCUUAGACGUCUAGGGGGUGUGAGAGCAUGGCCCCCACCACUGGGACUGAGAUACUGCCCACGACACCUACGGGUGGCUGCGAGUCGAGAAUCUUC